This 401-nucleotide ribosomal RNA is filed under the name uncultured bacterium. RNAcentral describes it as "bacterial SSU rRNA". It matches the Rfam family "Bacterial small subunit ribosomal RNA", at positions 28 to 426 of the family's 1533-position model. The record is from RNAcentral.
GACGAACGCUGGCGGCGUGCUUAACACAUGCAAGUCGAGCGGUAAGGCCCUUUCGGGGGUACACGAGCGGCGAACGGGUGAGUAACACGUGGGUGACCUGCCCUCAGCUCUGGGAUAAGCCCGGGAAACUGGGUCUAAUACCGGAUACCCCCACUUGAUCGCAUGGUCGGGUGAGGAAAUGAAUUUUGUCUUCGGGAGGGGCUCGCGGCCUAUCAGCUAGUUGGCGGGGUAACGGCCCACCAAGGCGUCGACGGGUAGCUGGUCUGAGAGGACCGGCCAGCCACACUGGGACUGAGACACGGCCCAGACUCCUACGGGGAGGCAGCAGGUGGGGAAUCUUGCGCAAUGGGCGAAAGCCUGACGCAGCAACGCCGCGUGGAGGAUGAAGGUCUUCGGGUUGU